GCAUCUUUACUUCUCAGACAUA
RNAcentral lists this microRNA (22 nucleotides) under Parasteatoda tepidariorum (common house spider). Its description in RNAcentral is "pte-miR-11938-3p". Lineage: Eukaryota; Metazoa; Arthropoda; Arachnida; Araneae; Theridiidae. The record is from miRBase by way of RNAcentral.